Molecule: ribosomal RNA, 253 nt
Filed under: uncultured bacterium
Lineage: Bacteria
Description: partial 16S ribosomal RNA
Rfam family: Bacterial small subunit ribosomal RNA
Source: RNAcentral
UACGUAGGGUGCAAGCGUUGUCCGGAAUUAUUGGGCGUAAAGAGCUCGUAGGCGGUUUGUCGCGUCUGCUGUGAAAACGCGAGGCUUAACCUCGGGCCUGCAGUGGGUACGGGCAGACUAGAGUGCGGUAGGGGAGAGUGGAAUUCCUGGUGUAGCGGUGGAAUGCGCAGAUAUCAGGAGGAACACCGGUGGCGAAGGCGGGUCUCUGGGCCAAAACUGACGCUGAGGAGCGAAAGCGUGGGGAGCGAACAGG